Molecule: unclassified non-coding RNA, 362 nt
Filed under: soil metagenome
Description: partial contains 5.8S ribosomal RNA, internal transcribed spacer 2, and large subunit ribosomal RNA
Rfam family: 5.8S ribosomal RNA (bases 1-120)
Source: RNAcentral
GAUGAAGAACGUAGCGAAAUGCGAUAAGUAAUGUGAAUUGCAGAAUUCAGUGAGUCAUCGAAUCUUUGAACGCACCUUGCGCUCCUUGGUAUUCCGAGGAGCAUGCCUGUUUGAGUGUCAUUAAUAUAUCAACCUUCUCUUUUUUGAGUUGUUUGGAUGUGGGGGUUUGCUGGCCUCUUAAAUGAUUCAGCUCCCCUGAAAUGCAUUAGCAGAACAACCUGUUCAUUAGCGUGAUAAUUAUCUAUGCUAUUGAAUGUGAGGGCAGUUCAGCUUUCUAACCGUCCUUGGACAAUUCAUCAUUAAUGUGACCUCAAAUCAGGUAGGACUACCCGCUGAACUUAAGCAUAUCAAUAAGCGGAGGA